RNAcentral lists this ribosomal RNA (253 nucleotides) under uncultured bacterium. Its description in RNAcentral is "partial 16S ribosomal RNA". It matches the Rfam family "Bacterial small subunit ribosomal RNA", at positions 524 to 776 of the family's 1533-position model. The record is from RNAcentral.
UACGUAGGGCGCAAGCGUUGUCCGGAUUCACUGGGUGUAAAGGGUGCGCAGGCGGAUGGGCAAGUCAGGGGUGAAAUCUCACGGCUUAACCGUGAAACUGCCUUUGAUACUGCUCAUCUUGAGUCAGGGAGAGGUUGAUGGAAUUCCAGGUGUAGCGGUGAAAUGCGUAGAUAUCUGGAAGAACACCAGUGGCGAAGGCGGUCAACUGGCCCUCGACUGACGCUGAGGCACGAAAGCGUGGGGAUCAAACAGG